GAUGAACGCUGGCGGCGUGCUUAACACAUGCAAGUCGAACGAGAAAUGAAGAUGGAAACCUUCGGGCGGAAGCCUUCAUUUCGAGUGGCGGACGGGUGAGUAACGCGUGGGUAACCUGCCUCAUACAGGGGGAUAACAGUUAGAAACGACUGUUAAUACCGCAUAAGACCACAGCACCGCAUGGUGCGGGGGUAAAAACUCCGGUGGUAUGAGAUGGACCCGCGUUCGAUUAGCCAGUUGGCGGGGUAACGGCCCACCAAAGCGACGAUCGAUAGCCGAUCUGAGAGGAUGACCGGCCACAUUGGGACUGAGACACGGCCCAAACUCCUACGGGAGGCAGCAGUGGGGAAUAUUGCACAAUGGGGGAAACCCUGAUGCAGCGACGCCGCGUGAGUGAAGAAGUACUUCGGUAUGUAAAGCUCUAUCAGCAGGGAAGAAAAUGACGGUACCUGAGUAAGAAGCC
This 463-nucleotide ribosomal RNA is filed under the name Lachnospiraceae bacterium oral taxon 097. Its description in RNAcentral is "bacterial SSU rRNA". It matches the Rfam family "Bacterial small subunit ribosomal RNA", at positions 28 to 492 of the family's 1533-position model. The record is from RNAcentral. Lineage: Bacteria; Bacillati; Bacillota; Clostridia; Lachnospirales; Lachnospiraceae.